AUUUUAAGAGGACCGUGGAUCUACUGAGCAAUUUCAGCCGCUCGGUGGAAGAUCUUCUCUAUAUAGU
RNAcentral lists this microRNA precursor (67 nucleotides) under Bombyx mori (domestic silkworm). Its description in RNAcentral is "mir-2774 microRNA precursor family". It matches the Rfam family "mir-2774 microRNA precursor family". The record is from Rfam by way of RNAcentral. Lineage: Eukaryota; Metazoa; Arthropoda; Insecta; Lepidoptera; Bombycidae.